Molecule: ribosomal RNA, 497 nt
Filed under: uncultured bacterium
Lineage: Bacteria
Description: partial 16S ribosomal RNA
Rfam family: Bacterial small subunit ribosomal RNA
Source: RNAcentral
GAUGAACGCUGGCGGCGUGCCUAAUACAUGCAAGUCGAGCGAACAGACGAGGAGCUUGCUCCUUCGACGUUAGCGGCGGACGGGUGAGUAACACGUAGGUAACCUACCUAUAAGACUGGGAUAACUUCGGGAAACCGGAGCUAAUACCGGAUAAUAUUUCGAACCGCAUGGUUCGAUAGUGAAAGACGGCUUUGCUAUCACUUAUAGAUGGACCUGCGCCGUAUUAGCUAGUUGGUAAGGUAACGGCUUACCAAGGCAACGAUACGUAGCCGACCUGAGAGGGUGAUCGGCCACACUGGAACUGAGACACGGUCCAGACUCCUACGGGAGGCAGCAGUAGGGAAUCUUCCGCAAUGGGCGAAAGCCUGACGGAGCAACGCCGCGUGAGUGAUGAAGGUCUUCGGAUCGUAAAACUCUGUUAUUAGGGAAGAACAAACGUGUAAGUAACUGUGCACGUCUUGACGGUACCUAAUCAGAAAGCCACGGCUAACUACGUG